CCAGGACGUGUGGGAUGGCA
RNAcentral lists this microRNA (20 nucleotides) under Oryza sativa (Asian cultivated rice). RNAcentral describes it as "osa-miR2867-3p". RNAcentral also lists the same sequence under 1 other name. The record is from miRBase by way of RNAcentral. Lineage: Eukaryota; Viridiplantae; Streptophyta; Magnoliopsida; Poales; Poaceae.